RNAcentral lists this ribosomal RNA (557 nucleotides) under uncultured bacterium. Its description in RNAcentral is "bacterial SSU rRNA". It matches the Rfam family "Bacterial small subunit ribosomal RNA", at positions 102 to 694 of the family's 1533-position model. The record is from RNAcentral.
ACGGGUGAGUAACGCGUGGGGAUGUACCUAGAGGUGCGGAAUAACUCAGGGAAACUUGAGCUAAUACCGCAUGAGCCCGAGAGGGGAAAGAUUUAUCGCCUUUAGAUCAACCCGCGUCAGAUUAGCUAGUUGGUGAGGUAACGGCUCACCAAGGCGACGAUCUGUAGCUGGUCUGAGAGGAUGACCAGCCACACUGGGACUGAGACACGGCCCAGACUCCUACGGGAGGCAGCAGUGGGGAAUAUUGGACAAUGGGCGCAAGCCUGAUCCAGCCAUGCCGCGUGAGUGAUGACGGCCUUAGGGUUGUAAAGCUCUUUCGACGGGGACGAUAAUGACGGUACCCGUAGAAGAAGCCCCGGCUAACUUCGUGCCAGCAGCCGCGGUAAUACGAAGGGGGCUAGCGUUGUUCGGAAUUACUGGGCGUAAAGCGCACGUAGGCGGAUUGUUAAGUCGGGGGUGAAAUCCUGAGGCUCAACCUCAGAACUGCCUCCGAUACUGGCGAUCUUGAGUUCGGAAGAGGUUGGUGGAACAGCUAGUGUAGAGGUGAAAUUCGUAGA